This is a non-coding RNA of Brassica napus (rape), 107 nucleotides long. NCBI's taxonomy places the organism in Eukaryota, Viridiplantae, Streptophyta, Magnoliopsida, Brassicales, Brassicaceae. The record is from Rfam.
AAGCCAUGGUGGGGACAUUGAGACAAGUAGCUUCUGAAUCUCUCCCAUGCCUCUGAAAAUCCUUCAAGUCCUCUUUGUUGAAAACCAGAGAUCUGAUUUCUAAGGUU